RNAcentral lists this transfer RNA (77 nucleotides) under Chloroflexota bacterium. RNAcentral's name for it is "tRNA-Arg". It matches the Rfam family "tRNA". Rfam says of the family: Transfer RNA (tRNA) molecules are approximately 80 nucleotides in length. Their secondary structure includes four short double-helical elements and three loops (D, anti-codon, and T loops). Lineage: Bacteria; Bacillati; Chloroflexota. The record is from RNAcentral.
GUCCCCGUAGCUCAGUGGACUAGAGCGGCCGCCUUCUAAGCGGCGGGUCGCAGGUUCGAAUCCUGCCGGGGACGCCA